GGAAAAGAAACUAACAAGGAUUCCCCUAGUAACUGCGAGUGAAGCGGGAAAAGCUCAAAUUUAAAAUCUGGCGGUCUUUGGCCGUCCGAGUUGUAGUCUGGAGAAGUGCUUUCCGCGCUGGACCGUGUACAAGUCUCUUGGAACAGAGCGUCAUAGAGGGUGAGAAUCCCGUCUUUGACACGGACUACUAGUGCUUUGUGAUGCGCUCUCAAAGAGUCGAGUUGUUUGGGAAUGCAGCUCAAAAUGGGUGGUAAAUUCCAUCUAAAGCUAAAUAUUGGCGAGAGACCGAUAGCGAACAAGUACCGUGAGGGAAAGAUGAAAAGCACUUUGGAAAGAGAGUUAAACAGUACGUGAAAUUGCUGAAAGGGAAACGCUUGAAGUCAGUCGCGUUGGCCAGGACUCAGCCUUGCUUUUCGCUUGGUGCAUUUUCUGGUUGACGGGCCAGCAUCGAUUUUGACCACUGGAAAAAGGCUAGGGGAAUGUGGCACCUUCGGGUGUGUUAUAGCCCUUAGUCACAUACAGUGGUUGGGAUCGAGGACCGCAGCACGCCUUUAUGGCCGGGGUUCGCCCACGUUCGUGCUUAGGAUGCUGGCGUAAUGGCUUUAAACGACCCGUCUUGAAACACGGACCAAGGAGUCUAACAUGCCUGCGAGUGUUUGGGUGGAAAACCCGAGCGCGUAAUGAAAGUGAAAGUUGAGAUCCCUGUCGUGGGGAGCAUCGACGCCCGGACCUGAACUUCGGUGAUGGAUCUGCGGUAGAGCAUGUAUGUUGGGACCCGAAAGAUGGUGAACUAUGCCUGAAUAGGGUGAAGCCAGAGGAAACUCUGGUGGAGGCUCGUAGCGAUUCUGACGUGCAAAUCGAUCGUCAAAUUUGGGUAUAGGGGCGAAAGACUAAUCGAACC
This 901-nucleotide ribosomal RNA is filed under the name Fomitopsis marianiae. Its description in RNAcentral is "Polyporus marianiae partial large subunit ribosomal RNA". It matches the Rfam family "Eukaryotic large subunit ribosomal RNA", at positions 55 to 941 of the family's 3401-position model. Lineage: Eukaryota; Fungi; Basidiomycota; Agaricomycetes; Polyporales; Fomitopsidaceae. The record is from RNAcentral.